GACGAACGAUGGCGGCGUGCUUAACACAUGCAAGUCGAACGGAAAGGCCCUGCUUUUGUGGGGUGCUCGAGUGGCGAACGGGUGAGUAACACGUGAGUAACCUGCCCUUGACUUUGGGAUAACUUCAGGAAACUGGGGCUAAUACCGGAUAGGAGCUCCUGCUGCAUGGUGGGGGUUGGAAAGUUUCGGCGGUUGGGGAUGGACUCGCGGCUUAUCAGCUUGUUGGUGGGGUAGUGGCUUACCAAGGCUUUGACGGGUAGCCGGCCUGAGAGGGUGACCGGCCACAUUGGGACUGAGAUACGGCCCAGACUCCUACGGGAGGCAGCAGUGGGGAAUAUUGCACAAUGGGCAGAAGCCUGAUGCAGCAACGCCGCGUGCGGGAUGACGGCCUUCGGGUUGUAAACCGCUUUCGCCUGUGACGAAGCGUGAGUGACGGUAAUGGGUAAAGAAGCACCGGCUAACUACGUG
RNAcentral lists this ribosomal RNA (468 nucleotides) under uncultured bacterium. Its description in RNAcentral is "partial 16S ribosomal RNA". It matches the Rfam family "Bacterial small subunit ribosomal RNA", at positions 28 to 507 of the family's 1533-position model. The record is from RNAcentral.